RNAcentral lists this ribosomal RNA (492 nucleotides) under uncultured bacterium. Its description in RNAcentral is "partial 16S ribosomal RNA". It matches the Rfam family "Bacterial small subunit ribosomal RNA", at positions 29 to 507 of the family's 1533-position model. The record is from RNAcentral.
AGUGAACGCUGGCGGUAGGCCUAACACAUGCAAGUCGAACGGCAGCACAGUAAGAGCUUGCUCUUACGGGUGGCGAGUGGCGGACGGGUGAGGAAUACAUCGGAAUCUACUUUUUCGUGGGGGAUAACGUAGGGAAACUUACGCUAAUACCGCAUACGACCUACGGGUGAAAGCAGGGGAUCUUCGGACCUUGCGCGAUUGAAUGAGCCGAUGUCGGAUUAGCUAGUUGGCGGGGUAAAGGCCCACCAAGGCGACGAUCCGUAGCUGGUCUGAGAGGAUGAUCAGCCACACUGGAACUGAGACACGGUCCAGACUCCUACGGGAGGCAGCAGUGGGGAAUAUUGGACAAUGGGCGCAAGCCUGAUCCAGCUAUACCGCGUGGGUGAAGAAGGCCUUCGGGUUGUAAAGCCCUUUUGUUGGGAAAGAAAUCCAGCCGGCUAAUACCUGGUUGGGAUGACGGUACCCAAAGAAUAAGCACCGGCUAACUUCGUG